This 598-nucleotide ribosomal RNA is filed under the name Haemophilus influenzae. Its description in RNAcentral is "bacterial SSU rRNA". It matches the Rfam family "Bacterial small subunit ribosomal RNA", at positions 88 to 682 of the family's 1533-position model. The record is from RNAcentral. Lineage: Bacteria; Pseudomonadati; Pseudomonadota; Gammaproteobacteria; Pasteurellales; Pasteurellaceae.
CUGACGAGUGGCGGACGGGUGAGUAAUGCUUGGGAAUCUGGCUUAUGGAGGGGGAUAACGACGGGAAACUGUCGCUAAUACCGCGUAGAAUCGGAAGAUGAAAGUGCGGGACUGUAAGGCCGCAUGCCAUAGGAUGAGCCCAAGUGGGAUUAGGUAGUUGGUGGGGUAAAGGCCUACCAAGCCUGCGAUCUCUAGCUGGUCUGAGAGGAUGACCAGCCACACUGGAACUGAGACACGGUCCAGACUCCUACGGGAGGCAGCAGUGGGGAAUAUUGCGCAAUGGGGGGAACCCUGACGCAGCCAUGCCGCGUGAAUGAAGAAGGCCUUCGGGUUGUAAAGUUCUUUCGGUAUUGAGGAAGGUUGAUGUGUUAAUAGUACAUCAAAUUGACGUUAAAUACAGAAGAAGCACCGGCUAACUCCGUGCCAGCAGCCGCGGUAAUACGGAGGGUGCGAGCGUUAAUCGGAAUAACUGGGCGUAAAGGGCACGUAGGCGGUUAUUUAAGUGAGGUGUGAAAGCCCCGGGCUUAACCUGGGAAUUGCAUUUCAGACUGGGUAACUAGAGUACUUUAGGGAGGGGUAGAAUUCCACGUGUAGCGGU